UCUUCAUUUCACGUGUUCUCUCACCGGUUAGAGAGGCGAGAGAGCACGCGAAAUGAAGAAGA
Molecule: microRNA precursor, 62 nt
Filed under: Pristionchus pacificus
Lineage: Eukaryota; Metazoa; Nematoda; Chromadorea; Rhabditida; Neodiplogasteridae
Description: mir-8364 microRNA precursor family
Rfam family: mir-8364 microRNA precursor family
Source: Rfam by way of RNAcentral